GACGAACGCUGGCGGCGUGCUUAACACAUGCAAGUCGAACGGAAAGGCCCUGCUUUUGUGGGGUGCUCGAGUGGCGAACGGGUGAGUAACACGUGGGUAACCUGCCCUUGACUCUGGGAUAACUUCAGGAAACUGGGGCUAAUACCGGAUAUGAGCUCCUGCUGCAUGGUGGGGGUUGGAAAGUUUCGGCGGUUGGGGAUGGACUCGCGGCUUAUCAGCUUGUUGGUGGGGUAGUGGCUUACCAAGGCUUUGACGGGUAGCCGGCCUGAGAGGGUGACCGGCCACAUUGGGACUGAGAUACGGCCCAGACUCCUACGGGAGGCAGCAGUGGGGAAUAUUGCACAAUGGGCGGAAGCCUGAUGCAGCAACGCCGCGUGCGGGAUGACGGCCUUCGGGUUGUAAACCGCUUUCGCCUGUGACGAAGCGUGAGUGACGGUACUGGGUAAAGAAGCACCGGCUAACUACGUG
Molecule: ribosomal RNA, 468 nt
Filed under: uncultured bacterium
Lineage: Bacteria
Description: partial 16S ribosomal RNA
Rfam family: Bacterial small subunit ribosomal RNA
Source: RNAcentral